Long non-coding RNA from Ictalurus punctatus (channel catfish), 1753 nucleotides. The record is from Ensembl. Lineage: Eukaryota; Metazoa; Chordata; Actinopteri; Siluriformes; Ictaluridae.
GUUUGGGAUUGCAAAAAAAAAAAGAGCUGCAAAGGAAAAUCCCAGCAGCCAAUAUGUUUUGUGCAUUUCAUGUUGUCCCCAGAGGAACUCUCGAACCAGCUGUCAGAAUGCAAUCAAUACGCAUGUGCAUGUCAAAAACAAUCAGGGGAGUUCUGUUGCAAUCACGGUGAAGAGUUAACACUGCCCUGUGUUCUUGGAACGCUAACUCAUGCACGUGUGACUUACCGGCAAUUUCUCUAAUAAACUCCAAAAGGAUGGACGGCCUCGCCUCAGCGCUCUGAUGUGGACUUUUUACUCCAAACACAAUCUGGUUGGUUUGGCAAAAAUGAUUGUGCAGCUGGCAUCCCACAAUCCCUUGUAAAAAAUGGACACUAUAGGGGUCAACAUUUUGGAGGCACCGCUGUGAUUGCUGCUCAGAUGUCCAGUGUCCAUAGCCUGUACAUUGAAUUCUACAUCAUACUACAUAACAAUACUACAACCAGGCAGGCUACAGUGAGGCACAUGUUGCUGUUUAAGGAGAGCUGGAAGUUGGUGGUCGAGUGCACAUUUCCUGAGGCCAGUUAGAGAUCAUCGGGGAUAGUAGAGACCCACCAGUUCAGAAUCAACUCCUACUCAGUUAAAGGCCCCUGCACUGUCAACAUGUCAGCCCUGGAAGAGCUACAGGAAGAGGUAGGAGGAGUGUUGCACACCCUGAAUCGAAACAAUUUACUGGGAAUCUGUGACUUUUUGAACAUAUCAGGUGUACAAAGAGCAGAUGUUAAAGGAAAAUCACGCAUCUCAUUGGUGACUCACAUUCUGAAGCACCUUGAAAGAGAGGAAGUGGCAGAGCUAGAAGACAACGGGAUGUCAGAGUUAUUACUACUGAAAGACAAAAUUGCAGAUAUGUUAAGUGGCAUCGAUAGUGAAAGGGUACACACUGAACAUGACAUUCAGGAGACAGUGACACAGAAAGAAAUGGAUGAACUGAGUAUUGCAAGUGAACAGCAAAAAUUUGGAGUCAUGCAAACUACUACAGUCAGUGCUGCUGUUAAUGGUUCUGUGCACCAAGCUACUGCAGGCUCUCCAGUAAACACCCAAUCUUCAGCCAAUGCCCAGCAGAAGCCAAGCCCACACUGGCACAAAGAUUUCAAAAUUUCUGGACAAAUAGACAAACCUGGCCAGAGAGAUAAACUUACAUUUUCCAGCCUUGCUCAUCAGAUUGAGAAUGGACUUGGAGGUUAUCCUGAAAUAGAGAUUAUGGAUGCUGUGAUCAGAGCUAUUUCUCCAGGCUUGCAGCUGCGCAGCUACUUGGAGGGAAGACCUCAUCUGACUCUUCCCGCACUAAGGUGCAUUCUGCAUUCACACUUCCAGGAAAGGAGCGCCACCGAGCUCUACAAACAGCUAGCUUCAGAACCACAGCAUAGCAAGGAGACACCCCAAAGCUUUGUAAUGCAGGUCUUAAAUCUAAGACAGAAAGUAUUAUUUGCAUCCCAAGAGUCAGAAUCAGGGCUUAAGUAUGACCCAGCUCUAGUCCAGCAUAUGAGUCUACACACAGUGCUUACUGGUCUCCAGAAUGACAGUAUCAGGAUACACAUGCAGCCCCUUCUGCUAGAUACUGAAAACUCAGAUGAGCUUUUGUUAGAGAGGUUAAACAUUGUCUGUGCAAAUGAGGCAGAACGAAGAAAUAAAAAGAGGUAUAGCACCCCGCUACAAGUCUAAGUUUGGUCCAGACAGAGGAUCCACCACCUACAAAAUGCUCAGUGAAAGAAGUUAG